CCCAACUAUCCCUAUUAAUCAUUACGUCAAUCCUAGAAACCAACAAAAUAGGAUCGAUCGUCCUAUUUCAUUAUUCCAUGCUAAUGUAUUCAAGCGUUAGCCUGCUUUAAACACUCUAAUUUUUUCAAAGUAACAGUCCUGUUUCCCCGCAACACCAAAUUAAUGGCAUUACGGUUCUUCAGGAAGGAGGAAUCAGUGAGACCAGUACAUACCUGUGGCACGACCAGCCUACUGACCCCGAAAUUCAACUA
RNAcentral lists this ribosomal RNA (251 nucleotides) under uncultured Glomus. RNAcentral's name for it is "partial 18S ribosomal RNA". Lineage: Eukaryota; Fungi; Glomeromycota; Glomeromycetes; Glomerales; Glomeraceae. The record is from RNAcentral.